Oryzias sinensis (Chinese medaka) is the source of this 2828-nucleotide long non-coding RNA. The record is from Ensembl. NCBI's taxonomy places the organism in Eukaryota, Metazoa, Chordata, Actinopteri, Beloniformes, Adrianichthyidae.
UGUCAAACGAAUACUAAUAGCCAGACAAGAUUACAAGAAACUUUUUAUAAUCCCACAUGGGCCAAAACGGCUCACAAAAAAAUGACACGCCUCGCAGAGUGAUAUUCUCAGACAGGGAAUAAGGCAGCAGAGGUGAGCACGAGGCAGGUUAAUUAGGAAAUCAAUUAUGACUUUUAUCCUGAAAUUGAUGGGUUGAUAUAAUGCUAAAAAAUGCUAACAAAAUGACCAUACCGUCCCCAAAACCUAGAUUAAAAUAAAUAUUCAGAGCUUUAUAUGAGCUUCCAUGUCUCUCAGUGUAUGCGUAAUUUUUUUUCUUAGAGGGUGGAGACAAAAAAACCAGACCUGCAUCGUGUCAUAACGGGGAGGGUCUUGGUGGUGCCGCUAUAUGCUUUUAAGCAAGCUGUUUAAAGUUCAUAAUGCAUCUGACGCAAGGAAUAGAGAGUGCGAUGAACGGCGCGGAGGGGGGGGGGGGGGGAGCCACCCCCGAGAGGAAUAAUGGGGAUGAUAAAGCGGGGGGGAAAACCCGUUGGAGGGAAGCUGAAUGGAUGGAGCUAGAGAGACGUCACUGCCAGCAGCAGCCAUGAAGACAGUCCGGUCCAGCCUCCGGCGAGUCAGUUGCUCUCAAUCUCCCGAGACGCUCGCUUCUCGGUUCGGGAGAGCAGAUGCCGCAGAGGCUUGCAAGCGAUGGCGUCAUAAUUUGGCCCAUGUUUCUAUACCUGCUUUUUAAGAAGAUGGGAAGCCUUCGGGGUUGAUUGUUAUCUUUGGUUAUCUAGCUGUAUGAGUGAUGUACAUUCUUCAUAAAGCUAGAUAACCGAAAGUAACAAGAAUCCCAUUACACUCCUGUAAAGGCAUCGUGACAUCUCCCUCACAAAAAAGACAAAAAGGAAAUCCCUAAGACAAGGGUGGACAACAGUCUAAAGAAGAUGGAAUGAAAAAGCUGCCGUAGGUAAGUUACACUACUUUUACUGCAAAUAUUUUGAAUAAAUGCCUAUAUUUAACUAUUAUGAGCAAUUAAAAACUAGAAGUAGUGAACAUUUUCUGCAGCUCAGUGAUUCAUAAAAGUAAGGUUGGUGCAACAGGAUCACUUUUAAUCUAAUAAGCUCCAUGAUCCCUGUGUGUGGCUGCAUGCAGGGGCUUAGUAUCACAUGGCCAGUUGGAAAAAAAAAGACCCACACUGACUCGCUAAAGCCAGUGGACAGGUCGUUUAAUACGUCUGUGUUGGCAAACCAGUUUCACUAACCAGUUGGGCCAACAAUCUGUUUUGUCCUCAUAAAUGUCAGGUUUUAUCUUUGGCAUCAAAAGAACUAAAAAAAAAGAGGAAAGCUUCUUAUCCAUGCAUGUAGCUAUGAAUUAUACAUUUAUUCUAGAUUGGAGGUAACCGUGUGAGUUAAGAAAGCUCCUUUUGAGUUAAUCUGGAAUCCCAUGGCGGUAGCUAAAGUGAAGUGGCACGAUUUUUCAGUCUAGUUUUGUUAACUUCUCUGCUGUUGAUUUCUUCCCCCUCAUUCCCACCUACCCCUUUCACACUUUUGCAUGAAAAGAUGUUUAGUUUGGGGUCGUGGGUGUUGUUUGAUUUGAUGUGACAGUUGGCUUGGUUUUGAAUGGGCCGUAGCAAAGCCUUUAUUGCUCGUGGUGCUUCCAUGUGGAAAGGCCUUAUGGGAUCUCACUGAAUGCUGAUGUGUGUGCAUGCAAAGCUCAGAGGGGGUGUGGUCCAGGAGCAAUCAAGCAGAAAAAACCCCCAGUGCCAAGAUCCAUGAGCGGUAGAAGGAGAACAAUCUCAGCUUUCAGGGUCUUUACCGGAGCUCACGGUGAGGCGUAAUUGGUCAAUCAGAUCUUCAACCUCAAGGCCUCCGAUGGCUGAUUGAAGGUGUGAUUUUUGUCCUGCCCAUCAAAGCCAAAGGGUCGCUCCUGCUGAGUUAGGCCGCUCAGGAUUGUUCUCAAGGUCCCAAGGCUGCAGCUCUAUAGUGUUAGCAGCGAACUCCAAUUGCGAAACAUAUUCCACUUGGUUUCACCACAGUUUUGCUGAAAAAUCUCCCCCUUGGGUGUAAAUAUAUUCAGCUUGACACCAAACAAAUUCCAGAGCUUGUGUGGCAGCCAUAACUGGCAAUACUUCUUCAGGCCCUGCAGCCUUUCUUCCUGCUGCAUUGCAGGUGCUGAGUGUGACAUUUGGGUUUAAGGCUUGGCUAGGAGAGGAGAGGAACCUUAGGGUCUUGACAGGAAGUGGCAGCUAGACAUGUCAUCGUCUUUGAUGGCAAAGCAACACCUGGUUUCCUCUUUAGAUGUGUUGCUGUUUGGUUCUUCACAGACACGUCUGAAUGGGUGCAAAAAGAAAAUAAAAGGUCGCAUCAAAGAAAUAGGUUGACAUUUUUUCGUGUCACUAACGGUGUAUGUCUGAGUGAGAGCUAAAGCCAAGAACAGAUUGUGUUUAUACCCUAAGCAGUGCCCCGGGAGAUGCAUGUCGUGGUCCAAAUGCUUUGUUCCGUCUUUGUGUGUGGCACAGUUAUAUCGCUAAAACUUCUCGCUGGGGAGCACAGAAAAGGGACCGUCUUGGCUCCCGCCUGCCUGAAAAUGAGUUCCUAAAAACACCUUAGGGUCUUUGCUCUCAGUCCCUCUUUUUGUAUGUCCCUUGGCAGUGUCUGAAAUAGAAAGAAGGCUCAUGGAGAAAUGAUGGAGAAGGAAAGAAGCCAGAAAGAGGAAGGAGAGGGAGGAGGGUGGUGGAUUUGUCUUAGCUUUCAUGCACUAGGAAAGCAGAUUUAGACUCUUAGUGUUAAAUAGAAAACAGCCAUUGUGGGUAGAUCCUGCUCGCCCCCCCUACCAGUAGACUUUACAGU